AACGAACGCUGGCGGCGUGCCUAACACAUGCAAGUCGAGCGAGAAAGCUCCUUCGGGAGUGAGUAAAGCGGCGCACGGGUGAGUAACACGUAGGUAACCUACCCUCGAGCCUGGGAUAACCUACCGAAAGGUAGGGCUAAUACCGGAUAUGACCACGGGAGGCCACGGCUCCUGCGGUGAAAGAUGGCCUAAGCUUGCAAGCUAUCACUUG
This 211-nucleotide ribosomal RNA is filed under the name uncultured bacterium. Its description in RNAcentral is "partial 16S ribosomal RNA". It matches the Rfam family "Bacterial small subunit ribosomal RNA", at positions 29 to 221 of the family's 1533-position model. The record is from RNAcentral.